This 206-nucleotide ribosomal RNA is filed under the name uncultured bacterium. Its description in RNAcentral is "partial 16S ribosomal RNA". It matches the Rfam family "Bacterial small subunit ribosomal RNA", at positions 568 to 774 of the family's 1533-position model. The record is from RNAcentral.
CGCGUAGGCGGCUUGUUAAGUCAGAUGUGAAAGCCCCGGGCUCAACCUGGGAAUUGCAUUUGAUACUGGCAGGCUAGAGUGUGGUAGAGGGAAGUGGAAUUCCGGGUGUAGCGGUGAAAUGCGUAGAUAUCCGGAGGAACACCAGUGGCGAAGGCGACUUCCUGGACCAACACUGACGCUGAGGUGCGAAAGCGUGGGAGCAAACA